RNAcentral lists this ribosomal RNA (639 nucleotides) under Pleurotus eryngii. RNAcentral's name for it is "eukaryotic LSU rRNA". The stretch from base 245 to 398 matches the Rfam family "5.8S ribosomal RNA". The record is from RNAcentral. Lineage: Eukaryota; Fungi; Basidiomycota; Agaricomycetes; Agaricales; Pleurotaceae.
AAGGAUCAUUAAUGAAUUCACUAUGGAGUUGUUGCUGGCCUCUAGGGGCAUGUGCACGCUUCACUAGUCUUUCAACCACUUGUGAACUUUUGAUAGAUCUGUGAAGUCGUCUCUCAAGUCGUUAGACUUGGUUUGCUGGGAUGUAAACGUCUCGGUGUGACUACGCAGUCUAUUUACUUAUAACACCCCAAAUGUAUGUCUACGAAUGUCAUUUAAAGGGCCUUGUGCCUAUAAACCAUAAUACAACUUUCAACAACGGAUCUCUUGGCUCUCGCAUCGAUGAAGAACGCAGCGAAAUGCGAUAAGUAAUGUGAAUUGCAGAAUUCAGUGAAUCAUCGAAUCUUUGAGCGCACCUUGCGCCCCUUGGUAUUCCGAGGGGCAUGCCUGUUUGAGUGUCAUUAAAUUCUCAAGCUCACUCUGGUUUUUCCAAUUGUGAUGUUUGGAUUGUUGGGGGCUGCUGGCCUUGACAGGUCGGCUCCUCUUAAAUGCAUUAGCAGGACUUCUCAUUGCCUCUGCGCAUGAUGUGAUAAUUAUCACUCAUCAAUAGCACGCAUGAAUAGAGUCUGGCUCUCUAACCGUCCGCAAGGACAAUUUGACAAUUUGACCUCAAAUCAGGUAGGACUACCCGCUGAACUUAAA